GAUGAGGCAAUGAAUGCCUUGAGAGAGGAGUAGCUAGGAUGUGAUCUUCAUGGGAGUAGAGUUAAGGAGAAAGACCAACUUGGGGCAUUGGGUAGAUGGGAUUCUACUCUUGUAUGCACCAGUUGCCUUUUACCCUUAGCAUUCGUUUAAAGUUUAUUCCUUCUUGAGUGAUCCCUUGAGCUGCAUUGAAACCAUAAGCAUUGAAUGAGAUCAUCUUUGUCUCAUAACCCUGUCCCAAUACAAGUGAGUUCACAUGAUUUUCAUAAGCAUGAUUCACAUGAGCUUUAAUGAAUGUCAAAAGGUUGGAACUAUGGCUGUUUGUGAAAACUUAAGCUUAAGCUUGAUUCAUUUGUUGAUGAGUAUGGCAAACGUUUUGUGAGUAAUCUUGUUUACACUGCAUCUUAGAAUUAGCAACUAGGACAGUGAGCCUUGAAUUCUUUUAGUGAUACACUCUCUCAUUAAGGAAUAUGAACUCCCAAUGCAUCCAACCUCUUUCUCUCAUUUGCUCUUUUUGCUUGAGGACAAGCAAAGGACAAGUGUGUGGGAGUUGAUAUGUUCAUAAUUUGCAUCAUUUAGGUUGUAUAUUUCAUUCCAAAUCAUAUCUUAUUUCAUGCAUUUUAGGUCUUUAGGUGUUAUUUUAGGACUUAUGGGUUUGCAUUAGGUCCAAGUGAGUCCUGCAUGUUGUGGAGUGUUUACAGGUGAUUUGGAAGCAGUUUGGACCUAAAAAGAUGAAGCCAGGAGGAGAAAUGGUGAAUUGGGGUUUAAAAAUGGUGAAAUCAGUCUUUUGGAGAUUCUUGGCGCUAGUCUGUACCGCAGGAAGCUUUUUCUUGGCUAUUUUCAUGUAGCGCGGGUGGAUUUCUCGGCCAAAACAUGAACCGGCCAUUCAAGUUUCUCGGCCAAAAUUCCCGGGUGCAGAUACAUCUCCGAGAUCGCGUUACCAGAAGGUCUCUCCUGCCGAUUCAGUCUCCGAGGUCUUCAGAAAAGAUCAAGAUAAUGGAAUCUAGAUCUCAGAACAGUUAGAUUCGAUUAGUUUGGAGCACCGAGCUAAAAGAUACGGCCACCGGAAGACAGACCUCUCUCGCAUCCGUUCCGGAGCAAUCCCAUACGUCUGGAAAGAUCGCCUGUCCAGGGAGUCUUAACGUCCGAUUCAGAUUACAGGGUCUUCCGCAAAGUUGGGGAUGGUCAGGUCACGGAUCCAGAACAUGUGUAAUGAUUGUAUUUGGAAUCGUUAGCAGAGAGUUAAGCUCACCGGAAGGCACACCUGUCUCGCUACAGUUUCAAGACUGAUCCGAUGAAUCACAAAGAUUGCGUGAGACGAUGCCUUUCCAGUCUGAUUCAGUUGUCGGGUCUUCAUCAAGAUUUGAGAUCUUUGAGUGAUAAUUCCAGAACAUCUAAGAUCAUCCAGUUUGGAGCUAUGUGCUGAAAGAUACCGUCUCCGGAGUGACAACUGGUCCAUGAGCUUCAUUUUGAUCGUUUCAAUGCACUUCAGAGAUGAGCUGUCCAGGGAACCUUCCACUUCCCAAGCGCCAAAGGUUCUUUCACAAAAGUUCGAGAUGUUUGAGUUACCUUUCCACUGCAGUUGGAAUCAAUCCAUUUGGAUCUAUAUCUUGGAAGUUACAAUCCUCCGAAUGCGAAGUGGUCCAAGUAGAUUUGAAGUCUGCGAGAUGGUUUUGCGACUUGAAUAACUCGCAGCGCUUAAAGGAUAAUUUCUGGGAAUUGAGCUGCAUGUUGAGAUGUGCGGGUAAGGUAAUCCUGGGUGAGGUCAAAGGCUCCCGAGCAGGAAAAAUGCUAAGUCCACAAAUGUGCGACUUAAGCAUGCGAGUUGGUAGAGUAGUGAACUGAACCGCAGGAACACUCGCUGUUUACACCGAGUUGGGCAUGCGACUUGGGAGUGAAGUGGACCAACUCGCACACAUAUUUGAAGUCCUGUGCUACAUGGUUGUGCGAGCUAGGGAGCAAAGGAAACUGAACCGCAUGAAGACUCGCGGUUUACACCGAGAGAGGAAUGCGACCUAGCUUACAUGAUUCUAUCUCGCUGAAGCUUCUUUCUAGACCUGUGCGAGUUGGGCAUGCAACUUGAGACUAAAGGAGGACCAACUCGCACACAUAUUCUCCCCAGAUUUCAUCUUGGUCAUGCGAGUUGAAGAGAAGAAAGACUGAAUCGCAUGAAAACUCGCGGUUUACACCUAGAUGGGCAUGUGGCUGAGACUGAAGGACUUAAGGCUCACAAGACUGUUUCUUUGGCUGUGCGACUUUGGCAUGCGACUUGGGAAGCUCCUGACCAACUCGCACACUCGACAUUUUACCCAUCAAAGCCGG
This 2319-nucleotide long non-coding RNA is filed under the name Eutrema salsugineum. RNAcentral describes it as "long non-coding RNA (ESAL_LNC001301)". Lineage: Eukaryota; Viridiplantae; Streptophyta; Magnoliopsida; Brassicales; Brassicaceae. The record is from RNAcentral.